Molecule: ribosomal RNA, 471 nt
Filed under: uncultured bacterium
Lineage: Bacteria
Description: partial 16S ribosomal RNA
Rfam family: Bacterial small subunit ribosomal RNA (bases 21-301)
Source: RNAcentral
AGCGAACGCUGGCGGCAGGCCUAACACAUGCAAGUCGAACGAACUCUUCGGAGUUAGUGGCGGACGGGUGAGUAACACGUGGGAACGUGCCUUUUGGUUCGGAAUAACUCAGGGAAACUUGUGCUAAUACCGAAUGUGCCCUUCGGGGGAAAGAUUUAUCGCCAUUAGAGCGGCCCGCGUCUGAUUAGCUAGUUGGUGAGGUAACGGCUCACCAAGGCGACGAUCAGUAGCUGGUCUGAGAGGAUGACCAGCCACACUGGGACUGAGACACGGCCCAAGCUACGCCUGGACGCAGCGGUGGUGACCGUGCCGACACGGGCGAAGUGCAGAGGCACGUGUGCGCAGUCAGUGAUGGAGGUCUGAUCUCAGCACCAUGCUGUCAGCGAGGAGCAUAAUGAGUUUAGCCGGAGAAUACCCCCCGCAUGACGUCGCGCCAGCCCCGCGUUCUGAUCGAAGAGAACCGCUUUUUAC